Molecule: long non-coding RNA, 2134 nt
Filed under: Fragaria vesca (wild strawberry)
Lineage: Eukaryota; Viridiplantae; Streptophyta; Magnoliopsida; Rosales; Rosaceae
Description: long non-coding RNA (FVES_LNC001112)
Source: RNAcentral
UAGUUUCAAUAAGUUUGUGUACAUGUGAUGCUUUGAUGUUCAUAAUUAAGAAGCGAAAAAGAGUCUACUUUAGAUAUAUUUCAUGUGUGCUUCAUUGAUAAAUCUUAAGAAAGCAAUAUUAAUUUCUAGAUUGCUACUCCUUAUUCGAGAAUUAGUAGAUAAUAUUUAGAGACUUAUUGAGUAAUGUGGUGGAAUCUGUUAUCUUAGUUAAUUCGCAUCAAGGUAAUCUUUAUCUAUUUUAUUUGUCUUAACUACUUCACCAUCAACUUUCAUUCAAUUAGGUUAGUGUUAAAUUAAUUUGGAUUAGAUUAGUUUUUUCUAAUUUUCAUACAUUCCCUGUGGAUUUGACCUCGCUCUUGUAUAUCUGUACUGCAACUGAUUCGUGCGCUUAUAAGUAACAUUUUAAAACACAUCACCGCCAAGGUGCCGCCUUGACCUGCCUUGACCCUAUUCGGCCCUACUAGGCACACCUAGGGCAACCAAAGGGGUGCACAACCCACAUAGGGCCGCUAAGCGGCCGUCUUGACCCGCCCUGGCCUGACCACCUUAACCCUCUUAGGGCUGCCAAGAGGUUGCCUUAACCCUUCUAAGGCAACCAAGGGGCCGCCUUAACCCAGCUAGGGUAGCCAAGAGGCCGCCUUUACCCGUCUUGGCCCGCCUUGAUCUGCCUAGGGGUUGCCAAGACCCGCCUAGAGUCGCCAAGGGGCCGCCUUGACCCGCCUUGGCCCGACUUGGCCUGUCUUUACCCGUCUUGGACUGCCUUGCUGCCUUGACCCACCUUGUUCCGCCUUAGGCUGCCUUGACAUUCCUAGACCCGCCUAAGGUUGCCUUGACCCUCCUAGGCUGCCUAAGGCCACCAAGAAGCCGUCAUGACUCGCCAAGGGGUCGCCAUGACCCUCCUAGGCCCAUUUAGGGCUGUCUUAACCCGCCUAUGGCCGUCGAUGGGCCAUCUGAACCCACCUAGAGCAGCCAAGGGGUCGUCUUGACCCACCAAGGGGAUGCCUUUACACGCCUAGGGUUGUUUUGACCUCCCUAGGGGCCUUAUGGACCCAUCUUGACCCGCCUUGGCCCGCCAUGACUCGCCGUGACCCUCUUAGGCUCGUCUAGGGCCGCCUUGACCCUCCUAAAACCGGCUAGGGCCGCCUUGACCCUCCUAGACUGGCCAAGGGGCUGCCUUGACCCUCCUUGGACCGCCUUGGCCCACCUUGACCUGCCAUGACCCGCCUUGGACCGCCAUUACCCGCCUUGACCCUCCUAGGCCCUUCUAGGGCUGCCUUGACUCUCCCAGACCUGCCUUGACCCUCCUAGGACCACCAAGAAGCCGUCAUGACUCGCCAAGGGGUCGCCAUGACCCUUCUCAGCCAAUCUAGGGCCGCUAAGUGGCCCCCUUAACCCGCCUUGACCCACCUCGGCUUUGCUAGUCCCACGUUGGGCAGCCAAAGGGGAGCCAUGACCCACCUAUAGCCGCCAAGGGGCUACCUUUACACGCUUAGGGCUGUUUUGACCUCCCUAAGGCCGUUAUGGGCCUGUCUUGACCCGUCUAGGGGCUGCCUUGACCCUCCUAACCCGUCUAGGGCCACCAAGAAACCACCAUGACUCGCCAAGGGGUCGCCAUGACCCUCAUAGGCCGGUCUAGGGCCGCCAUAAUGACUUGGAUACAAUUCACGCAAACGAACUUAUUGUUGUCAAGAUAGGAAAGUAUUUGUGCCCAAGUUAUCGUACCACGGGAAUUAGUGGCUAACCCACAAUCCUAAGCUAAUCGGAACAAAAGUCACUAAGCAAACAAAGAAAAAGAAGAAAAAUGCUACUCUAAAGCACCAAGCCUUAGCAAUGCUCGGCUUCGGUUAUCACCAAAGCCUAAUCAAUACUAAAUGCCUAGUGAUGGGUAAUUACAAUGAGUUGAUAUAUAAAAUGGAGAUUGAAUGAGAAUUAAUUAAAUUGACGAAAAACUAAAUGAAAAAUAAACUACUGACUAAUGAACUAGAGAAUGAUGAGAACAUGGGAGUGUCGGGUGAUCCACACUAACUCAUAUGCAAACAACGAUACCAAUUUCACAAAUACAUAUCCUAUUGUAUCAAGUCCCGUAUCUAAUACCCGUUAAGGCUACUAGACCAAUUAUCCUUUCGGUGUAUCG